Molecule: long non-coding RNA, 329 nt
Filed under: Durio zibethinus
Lineage: Eukaryota; Viridiplantae; Streptophyta; Magnoliopsida; Malvales; Malvaceae
Description: long non-coding RNA (DZIB_LNC000292)
Source: RNAcentral
CCAAAAGGUGAAGAGAGUAUUUUAAAUGGGCUUAAUUGAAUUAUCCUUUGCCGACAGAAACCAAAUUCGAACCAGAUGUUUCUAGUUGUACAUUUUAGGACCAAAGAAUACAUCAAACUCAGAAAACAAAGAAAACGAAGAGAAAACGCCAACGUGCGUUCCUUCCUCACCUUUUCCGAAAAAAAAAAGGAAAAAAAAAAAAGGCGAAUCCUCUGUCCCAGUAACUGUCACAUAUUCAAACGUCAAUUUUUAACAGUUUAAUCUUUCUUCUCUAGGCUGAUUAAUCUAAAACCUCAUGGUAACAAAAAUAAUUGAAAAAAUGAAAUCCA